Corapipo altera (White-ruffed manakin) is the source of this 481-nucleotide long non-coding RNA. RefSeq lists it as uncharacterized. Lineage: Eukaryota; Metazoa; Chordata; Aves; Passeriformes; Pipridae. The record is from RefSeq and is a predicted model, not a curated record. The transcript is spliced from 3 exons.
UUCACCCUAAGCACACAAAACAAGAGCGUUAAGAUUUGCUGGAGAUGGGACUCAUUUGCAGAAGAAUGUGGCUUUAUUAGAACUUUGGAGACCUUAAUCCAAAGGUUACAAAUUUCUACAAUAAAUGAAGAUAGUCAAGAUUCAGUGUUUUAUAAUCAGUUUCUCAGUGCCAGUGUAAGGCAUGACUUCAAGUGGAGCACAAGUCAACACAUCUGCUUAACUGUUAAGGCAAAACUCUCUCUCUGAAUUACCCAAAAACACACGAGCGCUCGUUUCGUCGCCCGCGUGUUCCAGACCUUCGUCGUUGUUUUUAUGGCCGUGUCGGCGCAGGGGCAGCAGCGGCUCUGGCAGGAGAGCCCCCAAAUGCCCUGGGUCUGGGAACAGACACCGCUCCGCCGUCCCUUGCCGACUCCGAGACCCUCCUCACCCCGCCGCCGGUGGCUGCCCGGCCAGGGCGAGACGGGGGGGGUCCCACGCCGCG